AAGUUUCAACAAUGGAUCUCUUGGUUUUCGCAUCGAUAAAGAACGCAGCUAAUUGCGAUACGUAAUAUGACAUUGGAUUUUUGAACGCACAUUGCACCUUAAGUUAUUUCUCAAGGCAUGCAUGGAUGGUCGGUA
RNAcentral lists this ribosomal RNA (135 nucleotides) under Metschnikowia bicuspidata var. bicuspidata NRRL YB-4993. RNAcentral describes it as "5.8S ribosomal RNA". It matches the Rfam family "5.8S ribosomal RNA". Rfam says of the family: 5.8S ribosomal RNA (5.8S rRNA) is a component of the large subunit of the eukaryotic ribosome. It is transcribed by RNA polymerase I as part of the 45S precursor that also contains 18S and 28S rRNA. The record is from Rfam by way of RNAcentral. Lineage: Eukaryota; Fungi; Ascomycota; Pichiomycetes; Serinales; Metschnikowiaceae.